GGGAUAAAUGAAGGGUAAGCAGUUGUGUAGCUGUGGUGGGAGCAGUGGUGGGUAGCUUUCAAUAGUAGAUCAUCAUAUUUUUCCAUUUUCUGAAACCACAGUUCUUUCCUGAAAGCCAUUAGUCUGGUUUAGGCUUCAGGCUGCUGGAGGAAAGCAUUAUUUAGUGAGUGCUGCAGAAGCUGAUUCUUGUGGAACCCAUGAGACUUAGAUCUUGCUGAUGUCAGAAUUUUCACAAGAUUUUGCAUUUUCAGAGACGUUUUGUACUCUGUUUGAGAGCUUGAUAUAAAUGGUCUUGUUUUCUAUUUCCCAGAUUAAAAUCUGUGGAUAAAAAGAACUUCAUUUGUUCCCUAUGGAAGAUGCAAAAUAUAUUUGAGUGACUGAAUGGAUACAUCUUUGUGAAUGACUAUGACUCAGGUUUACAUUGCCAUUUUCAUAAAAAAAGGGGGAAAAUUUGCUCUUCUAAACUAAAUUCAAGAGUAGAGAGAGGUAAUACUAUGUCCACCAAAAAAUUACAAUAGAAGUGAAAUAUUCAUAUUCUAAUCUUUCAAACAAAAGUAAGGAACCAUUUUGUUGCUCCCUCUCAUGGCUGAGAUUAGGGAAUUCUGGCUUUUCUCUUUGGUCAGGUGAACUACUCAGGGGUAUUUAUUAAGUGAAUACAUUCACCAAACAGUCUUGGACUUCACAGGACAACUUCUCGGUGCCAUUCAGUGAAAGCUGGGAAUACGAAGAUGCCUAAGGUCAUGUGAGCCCCACAUUUCUUGCAGUCCAGUGGAAAGACAGCUGCAUGAAUAUAUACUAGAGUGAAUAUAGAUACAAUAAAUUAUACCCAAGUGUAAUACAAUUAACAACUUUUAUGCUAGUGGUAUAAACCAGAAGAGGGAUUUUGUCAAUCGAUAUUAAUUUGGGAGGUUAAGGAGGGUUUUACUGAGAAGAUAAGUUGAAAUGCAAGGAUGUAUACACAUUUUUCCAGGCAGAAAAUGGGAAAGGCAUUAUGGAAGGAGGCAAGCAAAGGCAAGGCAGUGGAUGGACGUGGGAAACUGCCACACACCAUCUCUUGAGGAUACGAAAGGAGACAAGGUAGGCACAGGUCAGAUGGAGAAGGUGUCCUUGGUAUGCCCGUGUGCAUGUGGGAGCAAACCAGGCUUUCAGCCAAGACGUCACUGACUGCAUACAUAUAAGUUCUUUAAAAUGCCAGCAUUGGCAGGAGGUUGUAGAACUGAUUGGGUGGUGGGCGGUGUGAGAAGACAGGAGAAAAGAGGGGCCAGUAUUAUUAAAUUCUGUAACUCUUUUUUUUCAUUACAGAUUUUAAAAAAAUGUUGCUAAAAAUACGUGCAGGUUUUUAAAAAAGCUGAUUUCAUCUCUGAUUAGUGGCCAAGGCAACAGUCAGUACAGAUUAAAAAGAAGUUGCAUGCAAUGAGAAGGAGAGGGAAAGUGUCUCUUAGGGCUGUUGUUCUUAGAAGAGUGUGAGCGAAGCAGGAACUUGGAAUUUCAUACUCUUUUUCCAGCACAAGUAUGAAGAAAUGAACUAGACGUGAAGAAGUCUGUGAAAAGAAGUCAGUGAACUUCAGGGAAUAUCCUGUGAGCAUCAUCUUCUUUAUUCAGCAACAUUAAGAGCAUCUCCAGUGGGUUCACAUAUAUUUUUUUGAGUGUCUGUUUUCUGUUAAUCAUGGUGAGAACAUUAAGAAUAAUUUUAGAAAUUGGAAACAUUCUUAACUCUGAGAGAUCAUUACUUUGCUCUGCUGUGGUUACAAAUACAGUAAGUUCAACAUAAACACAGCUUAAGAAGUGUCUCAACCACUUCAGAAAUGUAGAAGUAUUUUUUAUAAUCUAGAGUAUUUAAUUAAUCAAAACUUCUAUUCCCCUAGUAUUCUGAGUAAUCAAUAUUUUCAUUUGUGAGUUUCAGAUGAAGAAUUAUUUGCACAAUGACAUAUCUGGGUUUUUUAAUACACUUUCUUCUGAAUCUUUCUUUAGUGUGAUGUGAGGUAUACAUGAGAAGUGUGCAUUUAAAUAGUCACAGUAAUGAUUGUAAUGAAUUCCAAGUGAGGACCGCAUGCUCUAAUUCCCAUGAAUUGAGGGGUAAUAUUUUUAUGUUAUCGUUUUCUAUAAUAAAACCUAAAAGCAGGUGCACAUGUCUGGCAAUUUAAAAGUUUCAAUAAAUUAAUAUUUGCUAAUAAUACUGACCUAUUUCUCCUAAGGAUUACAUAAGUGGAAGUUUUAUUUUAAACUAGUUUUUAAAAUAGUGUGUUAUGAAGAGCCAAUGCUAUGGGUAUAACAGAAUUUUACUAUUAAGUCAAUUGAGUAUAACAUGUAAAAUUUUUUUCUCUUGGCCAACAAUCUCUGAUCUAGGGCAAAAUGUCUCAGAACAGUUGUCCAGAGUGAUGCAACUUCAUAGGCACCACUUACCAUCUUUAUUGGAAAAUUGAGUAGAUCUUUAUAGACAUACUUUUAUGUGUCUCAAAUUGAAAAACCUACUUAUAGAUAUUAGUCUGAUAUUUUAGUGACUAAGUAAAUUAUUAAAUAAAAUAUUUAUUAAGUGGUAAUUUUUAAUAGAUUUCCUAGUUUGGGUAUAUCAUUCUCACUAUUUAAAAGUUCAUGUAGGAGUUCCCUAAUGGCCUAGUGGUUAAAGACUCGGUGUUGUCACUUCUGUGGCUCUUUUGGUCCCUGGCCCAGAAACUUCCACAUUCCUUGGGAACAGCCAAAAAACAAAACAAAAGAAAACAAAACAAAAAAACAACAACAGCUCAUGUUUUUAAGAUUAAAGAGCAACUGAAUGGGAGUUCCCGUCGGCUCGGUGGUUAACGAAUCUGACUGGGAACCAUGAGGUUGUGGGUUUGAUCCCUGGCCUUCCUCAGUGGGUUAGGAUCUGGUGUUGCUGUGAGCUGUGGUGUAGGUCGCAGACGCAGCUCGGAUCCCCCAUUGCUGUGGCUCUGGCGUAGGCUGGAGGCUACAGCUCUGAUUAAACCCCUACCCUGGGAACCUCCAUGUGCCGCG
Molecule: long non-coding RNA, 2991 nt
Filed under: Sus scrofa (pig)
Lineage: Eukaryota; Metazoa; Chordata; Mammalia; Artiodactyla; Suidae
Description: lncRNA (ENSSSCG00035061826.1)
Source: RNAcentral